Molecule: ribosomal RNA, 225 nt
Filed under: uncultured bacterium
Lineage: Bacteria
Description: partial 16S ribosomal RNA
Rfam family: Bacterial small subunit ribosomal RNA
Source: RNAcentral
CGGAACACGUACGCAACCUUCCUUUAACUGGAGAAUAGCCCCUCGAAAGAGGGAUUAAUACUCCGUAACAUAUUGAUAAGGCAUCUUAUUAAUAUUAUAGCUCCGGCGGUUAAAGAUGGGCGUGCGCCUGAUUAGAUAGUUGGUGAGGUAACGGCUCACCAAGUCUGCGAUCAGUAACUGGUGUGAGAGCACGACCAGUCACACGGGCACUGAGACACGGGCCCG